This 253-nucleotide ribosomal RNA is filed under the name uncultured bacterium. RNAcentral describes it as "partial 16S ribosomal RNA". It matches the Rfam family "Bacterial small subunit ribosomal RNA", at positions 524 to 776 of the family's 1533-position model. The record is from RNAcentral.
GACAGAGGGUGCAAACGUUGCUCGGAAUCAUUGGGCGUAAAGCGCGUGUAGGCGGCUUGUUACGUCGGGUGUGAAAGCCCGGGGCUCAACCCCGGCAGUGCACCCGAAACGGGGAAGCUGGAGUACUGGAGAGGCGAGUGGAAUUCCUGGUGUAGAGGUGAAAUUCGUAGAUAUCAGGAGGAACACCGGUGGCGAAGGCGACUCGCUGGCCAGUAACUGACGCUGAGACGCGAAAGCGUGGGGAGCAAACAGG